UGUCCGGAAUCCUGAAGAGAUUUGGGAGUGCUCGCAAGAGAACCGGAACACAGGUGCUGCAUGGCUGUCGUCAGCUCGUGUCGUGAGAUGUUGGGUUAAGUCCCGCAACGAGCGCAACCCUUGUCAUUAGUUGCCACCAUUCAGUUGGGCACUCUAAUGAGACUGCCGGUGACAAACCGGAGGAAGGUGGGGAUGACGUCAAGUCUCAUGGCCUUAUGGGUAGGGCUUCACACGUCAUACAAUGGUCGGUACAGAGGGUCGCCAACCCGCGAGGGGGAGCCAAUCCCACAAAGCCGAUCGUAGUCCGGAUUGGAGUCUGCAACUCGACUCCAUGAAGUCGGAAUCGCUAGUAAUCGUGGAUCAGCAUGUCACGGUGAAUACGUUCCCGGGUCUU
RNAcentral lists this ribosomal RNA (394 nucleotides) under uncultured Rhodocyclaceae bacterium. RNAcentral's name for it is "bacterial SSU rRNA". It matches the Rfam family "Bacterial small subunit ribosomal RNA", at positions 987 to 1382 of the family's 1533-position model. The record is from RNAcentral. Lineage: Bacteria; Pseudomonadati; Pseudomonadota; Betaproteobacteria; Rhodocyclales; Rhodocyclaceae.